GUGGGGAAUAUUGGACAAUGGGCGCAAGCCUGAUCCAGCCAUGCCGCGUGAGUGAUGAAGGCCUUAGGGUUGUAAAGCUCUUUCACCGAUGAAGAUAAUGACGGUAGUCGGAGAAGAAGCCCCGGCUAACUUCGUGCCAGCAGCCGCGGUAAUACGAAGGGGGCUAGCGUUGUUCGGAUUUACUGGGCGUAAAGCGCACGUAGGCGGUUUGUUAAGUCAGGGGUGAAAUCCCGGAGCUCAACUCCGGAUCUGCCUUUGAUACUGGCAAGCUAGAGUCCGGAAGAGGUAAGUGGAACUCCUAGUGUAGAGGUGGAAUUCGUAGAUAUUAGGAAGAACACCAGUGGCGAAGGCGGCUUACUGGUCCGGAACUGACGCUGAGGUGCGAAAGCGUGGGGAGCAAACAGGAUUAGAAACCCUAGUAGUCC
This 425-nucleotide ribosomal RNA is filed under the name uncultured bacterium. Its description in RNAcentral is "bacterial SSU rRNA". It matches the Rfam family "Bacterial small subunit ribosomal RNA", at positions 354 to 796 of the family's 1533-position model. The record is from RNAcentral.